UAGUGGCGAACGGGUGAGUAACACGUGGGCAAUCUGCCCUUCACUCUGGGACAAGCCCUGGAAACGGGGUCUAAUACCGGAUAAUACCUGCCUGGGCAUCUGGGUGGGUUAAAAGCUCCGGCGGUGAAGGAUGAGCCCGCGGCCUAUCAGCUUGUUGGUGAGGUAGUGGCUCACCAAGGCGACGACGGGUAGCCGGCCUGAGAGGGCGACCGGCCACACUGGGACUGAGACACGGCCCAGACUCCUACGGGAGGCAGCAGUGGGGAAUAUUGCACAAUGGGCGAAAGCCUGAUGCAGCGACGCCGCGUGAGGGAUGACGGCCUUCGGGUUGUAAACCUCUUUCAGCAGGGAAGAAGCGAAAGUGACGGUACCUGCAGAAGAAGCGCCGGCUAACUACGUGCCAGCAGCCGCGGUAAUACGUAGGGCGCAAGCGUUGUCCGGAAUUAUUGGGCGUAAAGAGCUCGUNAGGCGGCUUGUCACGUCGGGUGUGAAAGCCCGGGGCUUAACCCCGGUCUGCAUUCGAUACNGGNCUAGCUAGAGUGUGGUAGGGGAGAUCGGAAUUCCU
RNAcentral lists this ribosomal RNA (565 nucleotides) under Streptomyces sp. 334C05. Its description in RNAcentral is "bacterial SSU rRNA". It matches the Rfam family "Bacterial small subunit ribosomal RNA", at positions 93 to 671 of the family's 1533-position model. The record is from RNAcentral. Lineage: Bacteria; Bacillati; Actinomycetota; Actinomycetes; Kitasatosporales; Streptomycetaceae.